RNAcentral lists this transfer RNA (77 nucleotides) under Barnesiella intestinihominis. RNAcentral describes it as "tRNA-Asn". It matches the Rfam family "tRNA". From Rfam's summary of the family: Transfer RNA (tRNA) molecules are approximately 80 nucleotides in length. Their secondary structure includes four short double-helical elements and three loops (D, anti-codon, and T loops). The record is from RNAcentral. RNAcentral also lists the same sequence under 4 other names. Lineage: Bacteria; Pseudomonadati; Bacteroidota; Bacteroidia; Bacteroidales; Barnesiellaceae.
UCUUCAGUAGCUCAGUCGGUUAGAGCAUCUGACUGUUAAUCAGAGGGUCGUUGGUUCAAGUCCAACCUGAAGAGCCG